This 376-nucleotide ribosomal RNA is filed under the name uncultured eukaryote. RNAcentral describes it as "SSU rRNA". It matches the Rfam family "Eukaryotic small subunit ribosomal RNA", at positions 587 to 969 of the family's 1831-position model. The record is from RNAcentral.
AGCUCCAAUAGCGUAUAUUAAAGUUGUUGCAGUUAAAAAGCUCGUAGUUGAACUUUGGGCCCGGUUGGCCGGUCCGAUUUUUUCGUGUACUGGAUUUCCAACGGGGCCUUUCCUUCUGGCUAACCUUGAGUCCUUGUGGCUCUUGGCGAACCAGGACUUUUACUUUGAAAAAAUUAGAGUGUUCAAAGCAGGCGUAUUGCUCGAAUAUAUUAGCAUGGAAUAAUAGAAUAGGACGUUUGGUUCUAUUUUGUUGGUUUCUAGGACCAUCGUAAUGAUUAAUAGGGACGGUCGGGGGCAUCAGUAUUCAAUUGUCAGAGGUGAAAUUCUUGGAUUUAUUGAAGACUAACUACUGCGAAAGCAUUUGCCAAGGACGUUU